This 490-nucleotide ribosomal RNA is filed under the name uncultured bacterium. RNAcentral's name for it is "partial 16S ribosomal RNA". It matches the Rfam family "Bacterial small subunit ribosomal RNA", at positions 30 to 507 of the family's 1533-position model. The record is from RNAcentral.
AUUGAACGCUGGCGGCAGGCCUAACACAUGCAAGUCGAACGGUAACAGGGAUCAGCUUGCUGAUUCGCUGACGAGUGGCGGACGGGUGAGUAAUGUCUGGGAAACUGCCUGAUGGAGGGGGAUAACUACUGGAAACGGUAGCUAAUACCGCAUAACGUCGCAAGACCAAAGAGGGGGACCUUCGGGCCUCUUGCCAUCGGAUGUGCCCAGAUGGGAUUAACUAGUAGGUGGGGUAACGGCUCACCUAGGCGACGAUCCCUAGCUGGUCUGAGAGGAUGACCAGCCACACUGGAACUGAGACACGGUCCAGACUCCUACGGGAGGCAGCAGUGGGGAAUAUUGCACAAUGGGCGCAAGCCUGAUGCAGCCAUGCCGCGUGUAUGAAGAAGGCCUUCGGGUUGUAAAGUACUUUCAGCGGGGAGGAAGGGAGUAAAGUUAAUACCUUUGCUCAUUGACGUUACCCGCAGAAGAAGCACCGGCUAACUCCGUG